CAACAUUGGUUCCCAUAUGAUCACUGAAGUUAAGCAACAUCAAGCCUGGUCAUUACCUAGAUGGGUGACCGCUUGGAAAUGCAGGUGCUGUAA
Non-coding RNA from Acanthosepion pharaonis, 93 nucleotides. Lineage: Eukaryota; Metazoa; Mollusca; Cephalopoda; Sepiida; Sepiidae. The record is from the annotation of a GenBank genome assembly.